UACGUAGGGACCGAGCGUUGUCCGGAAUCAUUGGGCGUAAAGAGCGUGUAGGCGGCCUUUUAAGUCCUGCGUGAAAUCCUGCGGCUCAACCGCAGACGGUCGUGGGAAACUGGAAGGCUAGAGUGCGGGAGGGGAGACUGGAAUUCCUGGUGUAGCGGUGAAAUGCGCAGAUAUCAGGAGGAGCACCGGUGGCGAAGGCGGGUCUCUGGGCCGAUAUUGACGCUGAGGAGCGAAAGCGUGGGGAGCGAACAGG
RNAcentral lists this ribosomal RNA (253 nucleotides) under uncultured bacterium. RNAcentral describes it as "partial 16S ribosomal RNA". It matches the Rfam family "Bacterial small subunit ribosomal RNA", at positions 524 to 776 of the family's 1533-position model. The record is from RNAcentral.